AGGAGCAAAUUAGAUAAGUAAAGUAAGAUAUUUUUUAAAGGAAAAACUUCAAAAAACCCCCCCUGUGAUUUCGCGCAUUUUCACUUUGCUACCAUGUGGUUUAAAACGUAUCAAUUUGCCCCCCUGUGGUUUCGUUUUUAUCUUUUUGUUAUCAAUUUUAUUAUUAUUAUUUUUUUAAAUCAGUGACAAAGUUAAAAUUAAAGGAUACUAAAGUGACUAUUCGAUAAAUAUAGAUGGUUAUCUGAAAUUUUUUGUAUAUAAUUUAACGAAAUAUUAACAAAAAAGCUUGCGAAAAAAUAAAAAUGAAACCACAGAGGGGUAAAUUAAUACGUUUUAAACCACAGGGUAGCAAAGUGAGAAUGCACGAAACCACAGGGGGGGUUUUUGAAGUUUUUCCUUUUUUAAAAGUUGUAACAAAUUUUUCGGUAUUUAGAAAUGAAUAU
Molecule: long non-coding RNA, 443 nt
Filed under: Ananas comosus (pineapple)
Lineage: Eukaryota; Viridiplantae; Streptophyta; Magnoliopsida; Poales; Bromeliaceae
Description: long non-coding RNA (ACOM_LNC014528)
Source: RNAcentral